AGGGCAGCUCACAGCACGGGG
This 21-nucleotide microRNA is filed under the name Gallus gallus (chicken). Its description in RNAcentral is "gga-miR-1754-3p". Lineage: Eukaryota; Metazoa; Chordata; Aves; Galliformes; Phasianidae. The record is from miRBase by way of RNAcentral.